UCUGGGUUUAGUUUAAUAAAAAAACAUCUCCCUUACACCGAGAAAAUAUUCGUGCAAGUCGAAUUCCCCAGAA
RNAcentral lists this transfer RNA (73 nucleotides) under Halichoeres chrysus (canary wrasse). RNAcentral describes it as "tRNA-Val". It matches the Rfam family "tRNA". From Rfam's summary of the family: Transfer RNA (tRNA) molecules are approximately 80 nucleotides in length. Their secondary structure includes four short double-helical elements and three loops (D, anti-codon, and T loops). The record is from RNAcentral. Lineage: Eukaryota; Metazoa; Chordata; Actinopteri; Labriformes; Labridae.